This is a transfer RNA of 77 nucleotides. It matches the Rfam family "tRNA". Rfam says of the family: Transfer RNA (tRNA) molecules are approximately 80 nucleotides in length. Their secondary structure includes four short double-helical elements and three loops (D, anti-codon, and T loops).
CCCCCUGUAGCUCAGUUGGUUAGAGCAGAGGACUCAUAAUCCUUUGGUCGCCCGUUCAAGUCGGGCCGGGGGGACCA